UACGUGGGUGGCGAGCGUUAUCCGGAUUUACUGGGCGUAAAGCGCUUGUAGGCGGCUUCGUAAGUUGGGCGUGAAAGCUCCGGGCUUAACCCGGAGAGGCCGUCCAAUACUGCGGAGCUCGAGGGUGCCAGAGGAAGGUGGAAUUCCUGGUGUAGCGGUGAAAUGCGUAGAUAUCAGGCGGAACACCCGUGGCGAAGGCGGCUUUCUGGGGCAUUCCUGACGCUGAGAAGCGACAGCUAGGGGAGCAAACAGG
This 253-nucleotide ribosomal RNA is filed under the name uncultured bacterium. RNAcentral's name for it is "partial 16S ribosomal RNA". It matches the Rfam family "Bacterial small subunit ribosomal RNA", at positions 524 to 776 of the family's 1533-position model. The record is from RNAcentral.